GACGAACGCUGGCGGCGUGCUUAACACAUGCAAGUCGAACGGAAACGCCCUGCUUUUGUGGGCUGCUCGAGCGGCGAACGGGUGAGUAACACGUGAGUAACCUGCCCUUGACUUUGGGAUAACUUCAGGAAACUGGGGCUAAUACCGGAUAGGAUCUCCUGCUGCAUGGUGGGGGCUGGAAAGUUUCGGCGGUUGGGGAUGGACUCGCGGCUUAUCAGCUUGUUGGUUGGGUAGUGGCUUACCAAGGCUUUGACCGGUAGCCGGCCUGGGAGGGUGAGCGGGCACAUGAGGACUGAGCUAAGGCCCAGACUCCAACGGGAGGCAAUAGUGGGGAAUAUUGCACAAUAGGCGGAAGCCUGGUGCGGAGACGCCGCGUGCGGGAUGACGGCCUUCGGGUAGUAAACCGCUUCCGCCUGUGACGAAGCGUGAGUGACGGUAAUGGGUGAAGAAGCACCGGCUAACUACGUG
Molecule: ribosomal RNA, 468 nt
Filed under: uncultured bacterium
Lineage: Bacteria
Description: partial 16S ribosomal RNA
Rfam family: Bacterial small subunit ribosomal RNA
Source: RNAcentral